This 586-nucleotide ribosomal RNA is filed under the name uncultured bacterium. RNAcentral's name for it is "bacterial SSU rRNA". It matches the Rfam family "Bacterial small subunit ribosomal RNA", at positions 339 to 914 of the family's 1533-position model. The record is from RNAcentral.
CUACGGGAGAGCAGACAGUAGGGAAUCUUCCGCAUGGACGAAAGUCUGACGGAGCAACGCCGCGUGAACGAUGAAGGCCUUCGGGUCGUAAAGUUCUGUUGUCAGGGAAGAACAAGUGCCGUUUGAAUAAGGCGGCACCUUGACGGUACCUGACCAGAAAGCCACGGCUAACUACGUGCCAGCAGCCGCGGUAAUACGUAGGUGGCAAGCGUUGUCCGGAAUUAUUGGGCGUAAAGCGCGCGCAGGCGGUCUUUUAAGUCUGAUGUGAAAGCCCAUGGCUCAACCAUGGAUGGUCAUUGGAAACUGGGAGACUUGAGUACAGAAGAGGAGAGUGGAAUUCCACGUGUAGCGGUGAAAUGCGUAGAUAUGUGGAGGAACACCAGUGGCGAAGGCGACUCUCUGGUCUGUAACUGACGCUGAGGCGCGAAAGCGUGGGGAGCAAACAGGAUUAGAUACCCUGGUAGUCCACGCCGUAAACGAUGAGUGCUAGGUGUUAGGGGUUUCGAUGCCCUUAGUGCCGAAGUUAACACAUUAAGCACUCCGCCUGGGGAGUACGGCCGCAAGGCUGAAACUCAAAGGAAUUGAC